CUAAUUGCGCGUUGCCAUGUGAACUGCAGGACACAUGAACAUUGACAAUUCGAACGCACAUUGCGGCCCUAGGACUUGUUCCUGGGCCACACCUGACUGAGGGUCGG
This 107-nucleotide ribosomal RNA is filed under the name Frankliniella tritici. Its description in RNAcentral is "partial 5.8S ribosomal RNA". It matches the Rfam family "5.8S ribosomal RNA", at positions 49 to 154 of the family's 154-position model. From Rfam's summary of the family: 5.8S ribosomal RNA (5.8S rRNA) is a component of the large subunit of the eukaryotic ribosome. The record is from RNAcentral. RNAcentral also lists the same sequence under 1 other name. Lineage: Eukaryota; Metazoa; Arthropoda; Insecta; Thysanoptera; Thripidae.